This 254-nucleotide ribosomal RNA is filed under the name uncultured bacterium. Its description in RNAcentral is "partial 16S ribosomal RNA". It matches the Rfam family "Bacterial small subunit ribosomal RNA", at positions 524 to 776 of the family's 1533-position model. The record is from RNAcentral.
UACGUAGGUGGCGAGCGUUGUCCGGAUUUACUGGGCGUAAAGAGCGCGCAGGCGGUCGUUCAAGUCGCGUGUGAAAGCCCCCGGCUCAACUGGGGAGGGUCACGCGAUACUGAUCGACUCGAAGGCAGGAGAGGGAAGUGGAAUUCCCGGUGUAGUGGUGAAAUUCGUAGAUAUCGGGAGGAACACCAGAGGCGAAGGCGGCGACCUGGAAGGUGGACUGACACUGAGCAGCGAAAGCGUGGGGAGCAAACAGG